AUUGAACGCUGGCGGCAUGCUUUACACAUGCAAGUCGAACGGUAACAGCACUUCGGUGGCUGACGAGUGGCGAACGGGUGAGUAAUACAUCGGAACGUGCCUAGUAGUGGGGGAUAACUACUCGAAAGAGGAGCUAAUACCGCAUGAGAUCUAAGGAUGAAAGCAGGGGACCUUCGGGCCUUGCGCUACUAGAGCGGCUGAUGGCAGAUUAGGUAGUUGGUGGGAUAAAAGCUUACCAAGCCGACGAUCUGUAGCUGGUCUGAGAGGACGACCAGCCACACUGGAACUGAGACACGGCCCAGACUCCUACGGGAGGCAGCAGUGGGGAAUUUUGGACAAUGGGCGCAAGCCUGAUCCAGCAAUGCCGCGUGCAGGAUGAAGGCCUUCGGGUUGUAAACUGCUUUUGUACGGAACGAAAAGCCCUCUUCUAAUACAGGAGGGUCAUGACGGUACCGAAAGAAUAAGCACCGGCUAACUACGUG
This 482-nucleotide ribosomal RNA is filed under the name uncultured bacterium. RNAcentral describes it as "partial 16S ribosomal RNA". It matches the Rfam family "Bacterial small subunit ribosomal RNA", at positions 30 to 507 of the family's 1533-position model. The record is from RNAcentral.